Dioscorea cayenensis subsp. rotundata (Guinea yam) is the source of this 107-nucleotide small nucleolar RNA. The record is from RefSeq and is a predicted model, not a curated record. NCBI's taxonomy places the organism in Eukaryota, Viridiplantae, Streptophyta, Magnoliopsida, Dioscoreales, Dioscoreaceae.
AAUCCGUGUUGUGGGUACCUAUGCAAAAGAUCAUUGAAGCACUCCCAUGUCUCAAACAAUAACUCUAGCUCCAUCUGUACAAAUGAUGAAAUCUCAUUGUGAAGCUU